CCAAACUAAGUUUCCUGGAUUUGGACUGUUAUGGAUGAUGAUAAUGAUCAUGGAUAUGGAAUGACAACUCUAAAGUGCUCCUAGUCUGGCCCAGAGGAUGGGAGGUGUUCUAGGGUGUUACAUGUUGGACAAGAAAGAAACUGCUGAGCCACCUGGAAAUGAUUCUGGACAUAUGGUGUGAAUCUCUCAGCCUUGCUUGACAGCAAUCAUGACAAAUGCUCUGGACUCACCCAUAUGCACUUGUGUGAGAGAAAAGGUCCAAGGCCCAAGAGGAUCGAAGACCUCAUUGAUCCACUUAACAAACAAGAUAUGAGUAACCCAAGCUUUGCUGUUGGACCUCCACAUAACGUUUAACUGGCUCUUCUGCACCUUGCAUUUCUUG
This 382-nucleotide long non-coding RNA is filed under the name Lynx canadensis (Canada lynx). RNAcentral describes it as "lncRNA (ENSLCNG00005016920.1)". Lineage: Eukaryota; Metazoa; Chordata; Mammalia; Carnivora; Felidae. The record is from RNAcentral.